GCGUGGGCCCGUCAGUGCCGCGGGUACACAGGGGAGUUUGCCCACGGGUGCCUCGAAGGAGAAAAAAAAGAGGAGAGCAAAAGGACCCUUCCUAAGAGGAUCAAUCAACUAUUGAUAUGAACAAGGUGGAUCUGGAGAAUCAUAUCACACAAGUGACUAGAGACACAAUGCAGUCAACUGCUAUCAGCCAUCUGCCAUGGACUUCUGGCCUACAUACAGGAGGAACCAUGCUGGAAAGGGAUUCAGACAAGGCUAAAAAAUCCUGCAUUGCCUGGAGGAGGAGCUGAGUCAGAUGUUGAAGGGUGACAGGACUGACACUAGGGCUCAGCAUUGGAACUAAAAGAAAAAGGGAAUGCUACAGUACUGCUUCAGUUAAUUUCCUGACAAAAACGGUUGUAAAAAUUUAUGAAGCUGUUACCUCUGAAGAGGAAGGGAUGGGGAUAACAAUGAAAGUAUCAUGUAAUUUGAAAAUAUAUUAGCUUGUGCCUCUUCUCUAUCCUCAGUUUCUAACUUCAGAGGCAUUCCAAAGAGGCUUUUGGAUAUAGACAGACUCCCCAUGAAUUCUUCUGCUUGUUUCCCGCCUCUGACUUUCUCUGAGAUCCUGUCUUGUAAUCUGCUAUCCUCCUACAGUUCCUUAUGGCACUGUCUAUCCAAAAAUACAUGUGUUCUAUAAAGAAACCGCAUAUUUGAUUGGAACAAGCAUCCUGGGUCUUUCUAAAUUGUACCUUCAACAUAUUAAUUUCCUUCCAGGACAGUUCUUUUCCAAUGUAAUGGUCCAGGUUAAACGAGUCAUUUGGACAGCUACUUUAAUCCAAACUGUGCCAGAUUAUAGAGUUCAGGUAAAACUAAAUCUAUAGGUAAUCUGUGAUCAUUUUUUUUUUUACCCUGUUUAUGAAUUGUUACACAUGGAUGCUUGUUUUCUUAAAAUACCCAAUGAAAUGAUAAGAAAAUUACUUCACAGAUAUACGAAGGUGUGAUUUGGAGCCAAUCUAACAUACAGAGGUAUCAAAUUCUUUCCCUGCUUACGCAAUUUUAGCAGUACUCAGGGCUGCAUAGCAUAUCCAAAGUCACAGUCAGGUUGUUUCUGCAUAACUUGCACCAGACUGCAUUUGCUAUUGCCAAUGUUUUAUAAUGUGAAACGGUUUUGACCAAAGAAAUUUAAUGUGGAGUUAUAGAAGAGUUUUAUGCUUUUUCAUUUCCUCCAGUUUCAGACACUGUUCUCCUUUUCCUUUGGCGUUAUGCAUGCAGACAGACAUGCUAAUACCUUUAUUACAUAACUGUACAGAAAUGCUCCUGAUUCAUUGGAAAGAAGCAUCUCGUUCACAUACCUUAUGCAAAGAUAUAAACUGCUACACAAGUGAGGACAUGCAACAUCAGGCUUGAAAAGGCUAUUCAGGUGAAGUCUUCAUGGCCCUUCUCUGCACCAGGUAGUGAAACCCUCCCUUUGGCUUGCUUUUCUCUCUUUCUGGGACUGACAAAACACCGCUUUUUGAUCACUAAUGGGGAAGAACUGUGCAAAGAGAAACAACACCCCCCUCACUUGAGGCUGGGUUGUACCCUACUGAACAUACUCUUACGGCAGCAGAUACAGUGCUGGGUGGACUGUUUUUAAAGACCUAACCUGAAUCACAUGCAUUGCAUGAAUAAACUUAUGGGUUAGCUUAAACUCUUGUAAACCUUUAUCAUCUCCCUCACCUUUGCCACAAUCUGAAUGCAGCUGUAGAAAAGCAAAUUGCUCAGCAAGCAAUAGGAUGAAUGAAUUAUGGUUAAUGCUUGAUUUUGAUGUUUAAAAAUAUAUGUAUUCUUCCAUCUGGAGUCUUCACACAGCUGGGGCACAUAAAAGUUUGUCUCAACUGCAAAUCUGUAAUCAAAUCAUAGGUUUUUUUCCUCAGCUGGGUUUUCCAUCCUCUCAACAACCCAAUCACAAAGUUUUUGAGAAACUAGUGAUUGAAAGACCUCUGCUGACUGAUAAAUUUGUGCAAACCUUACUGGGGCUGAGGGGGAAGGCAGACAGUAUGAUUAUAUUUUGAUAAAAGACUAGACAGUGAUAAUUGCAGAAGCUUUUUCUUUAGUUGAUGCCUACAUACAGGAGGAACCAAAGAAGCUGAAACCAAAUUGUAUUUGCAGAUUUUCAGACACUGAAAGACUGUAAUAUAGUGGUUCAUUAUUUCUGAGUUCUCUAAGUUCAUUAUUCUAAGGAAGUUUCUAUAUGCAGCAGAAGAUAUACUGAUACUCUCUAACUUGAAUUAAGUAAACAUAACAUUAAAUUUUAGUCAAUUUUACAAUACAUUUCCUGAAAGAAGCAAGAAAGUACACUGAAAAAUGGAGAAUAGACAUAACAGGUAAGAUGCUGACAGCUGCAUUUCCCUAUUCCUUCAAUAUUCCCCCUCCCCCUGUCCAACUCUAGUACUUUUCUGGUAACCCUUCUCACGUCAGGGCAGCUUAGGAGUGUUUUGGCAGGGAACAGUCUGCUUAUUCUCCCUGGAGACUGCACAGAGAUCAUAAAUCCUGUUGGAGUUCUUAACCCUUACAUGUAGCUGACAGCUUAAAUCGCCUGCAUUACUAAAUUCAAGCAAGAAGACAUGCCAGCAUGCAAAGAAAUAUGCUCAAAUUAUUGGGUAGCCAGUUCCACACUUUCUCAUUUUUUUAUUCAAUGGAUUUUUCAAGGAGAAUCUGAAAGUGCUUUGCUUGAGAAACACCAGUAUCAUAAUUUAAUACUUAUGAUAAAAAUAGGUCACUGUACUUUCUUUUGUUAAGUAAUUCCUUGUUUUAAUCAUAUCAAGGCCUUCCACCACCUUUUCCUUAAAACUGCAAUUUCUGUCAUACUCUAUCUUUUCCUCUUGACAUAACUGGCACCUCUUUUAUGCCUUCUACUGUUAGAGUAAGAAGGAAUCAGGUUCCAAUACUAAUUAUCAUGGCAAGAUGAUAUAUGAAUGCUGAUUAUCUUUUGUAGAAAAAAGGAAAUCAUGACCUGUUAAGCCAAUCAAGUCAACUAUUUAAAUGCUAGAAAAUUCUGUGAAGAUCUUUUUCCAUCUGGCUAAAUAAAA
Molecule: long non-coding RNA, 3047 nt
Organism: Athene cunicularia (burrowing owl)
Lineage: Eukaryota; Metazoa; Chordata; Aves; Strigiformes; Strigidae
Exons: 3
Source: RefSeq, a predicted model, not a curated record